GUAAAAACCCUAUUUGUAAACAACCAGUCCUUUUAACUCGGGGCUGCGUCAUAAACACGGCGCGCUUGGAAGACCACGAUGUCAUCUUCCUUCUGUCAGGAGGAUCCCAGUGAAGCUACAGGAGUUUCAUUAACGUCAACAACUUGGACCGAACAGUUUGUUUUGCAUGAUGAAGAGCAGGAAGGGCAGCCUGGAGAGAAAGAGAAGCCGGGUUGAGCCCACUACCAUCAUCCACGUACCACGAGGAAGAUGAGGGAGAGAAAUUAUCCUACCAUUAAAGAGACUGUGAAAAGAACGUUGAGAACAUCACCACUCUACAGGAAGACACAGUCCAGUAAUGGGUGUCAGAAGUUCAGUAGUGAACGACAGGCAGUACUGAUGCAUUUACUGAGAGGGGACGUGAGGGCCUACUCUGCGUGCUCAGAGUUCAAGCCCAGCAGGCUGCAGCGGGCCUGACAUAUUCUGGAACAGCAGCACAGUCUUUAGAUGACUCCUCUGAAGAUGAAAACAUGGCGAGUUCUUCUCAAGAGAAGCAGUACAGGUGUGCCUCAGCUCCACGCUCCCUCCUGCAGCCUCCGCUCCUGAUGCUAACCUCAUGUCUCCAUCACACCAAGCAGCAGACCUGGAUUGACAGACCUUUCUCCAGAGCUGCCCCCUCCCUCUGAAACCCCCCUCUCCAAAACACUAUUUGUGUAGUUUUUAAAGUAUUUUUUGCAUGAGAAUUGUUGAUCAUAUCAUUUCCAGCAGAUGCCUUAAUAUAAUGUUUGUGCACAAUAAAUGACAUUGAUCAUAA
Molecule: long non-coding RNA, 793 nt
Organism: Pleuronectes platessa (European plaice)
Lineage: Eukaryota; Metazoa; Chordata; Actinopteri; Pleuronectiformes; Pleuronectidae
Exons: 5
Source: RefSeq, a predicted model, not a curated record